ACUUUACAAUGCGGGAAACCGCGAUAAGGGGACACUGAGUGCCAGCAUAUUAUGUUGGCUGUCCACAUGUAUAAAUACCAUGUGUUAGCAAGGGCCGGGCAAGACCGGUGCCAGCCGCCGCGGUAACACCGGCGGCCCGAGUGGUGAUCACUUUUAUUGGGUCUAAAGGGUCCGUAGCCGGUUUGAUCAGUCCUCUGGGAAAUCUGACAGCUCAACUGUUAGGCUUCCAGGGGAUACUGUCAGACUUGGGACCGGGAGAGGUAAGAGGUACUACAGGGUAGGAGUGAAAUCUUGUAAUCCCUGUGGGACCACCAGUGGCGAAGGCGUCUUACCAGAACGGGUCCGACGGGUGAGGGACGAAAGCUGGGGGCACGAACCGGAUUA
RNAcentral lists this ribosomal RNA (384 nucleotides) under uncultured euryarchaeote. RNAcentral describes it as "bacterial SSU rRNA". It matches the Rfam family "Archaeal small subunit ribosomal RNA", at positions 347 to 731 of the family's 1478-position model. Lineage: Archaea; Methanobacteriati; Methanobacteriota. The record is from RNAcentral.